UACAGAGGGUGCAAGCGUUAAUCGGAAUUACUGGGCGUAAAGGGUGCGUAGGUGGCUAUUUAAGUCAGGUGUGAAAUCCCCGGGCUCAACCUGGGAAUUGCGCUUGAUACUGCUUAGCUAGAGUGUUAUAGAGGGUAGCGGAAUUUCCGGUGUAGCGGUGAAAUGCGUAGAUAUCGGAAGGAACACCAGUGGCGAAAGCGGCUAUCUGGAUAAUAACUGACACUGAGGCACGAAAGCAUGGGUAGCGAACAGG
This 253-nucleotide ribosomal RNA is filed under the name uncultured bacterium. RNAcentral describes it as "partial 16S ribosomal RNA". It matches the Rfam family "Bacterial small subunit ribosomal RNA", at positions 524 to 776 of the family's 1533-position model. The record is from RNAcentral.